AAAGUCGUAACAAGGUUUCCGUAGGUGAACCUGCGGAAGGAUCAUUAAUAAUUUGCCGAACCUAGCGUUAGCGAGGUUCUGCGAUCACUUAUAUUUAAAACCCAACUCUUAAAUGUAUAAAUUUAUGUAUUUUUUUAAUGAUAAAAAAUUAAAAGAUCACUUUCAACAACGGAUCUCUUGGCUCUC
Molecule: unclassified non-coding RNA, 186 nt
Filed under: Glomeromycotina sp.
Lineage: Eukaryota; Fungi; Glomeromycota
Description: partial contains small subunit ribosomal RNA, internal transcribed spacer 1, and 5.8S ribosomal RNA
Rfam family: Eukaryotic small subunit ribosomal RNA (bases 1-47)
Source: RNAcentral